This is a long non-coding RNA of Rhagoletis pomonella (apple maggot), 629 nucleotides long. RefSeq lists it as uncharacterized. The record is from RefSeq and is a predicted model, not a curated record. The transcript has 3 exons. Lineage: Eukaryota; Metazoa; Arthropoda; Insecta; Diptera; Tephritidae.
UGCCGGUGAAGUAUUUGUGUUUGUGAAUCGGAAAAAACAUAAAUGAACGUAAAAAAAAAACGGCGUUGGUGUUGUGAAAGAAGAAAUGGGGAAAUAAAAGGCUAACUCCAGGUGAAUGAAUAUAUGUGUCGGUGUUCGUGUGUGUGUUUUUGCUCUUGAUGCUGGUAGCUCCUGUGGUUGCUUUGUGCAAAAAUUUUGUAGCUGCUGCUGCAAUGUACGGCUGCUUCAGAUAGGCUCAAAUUGGAUAGGCUCAAAUUGGAAAUCCUCGGAUUGGCUCAAAAAGCUGGGCGCUGCCAAGUGGAAGUUCAAAUGUUACGGCGUUGAAGGACCAGUAUGUUAAACCGGCACAACGCUUGGACAAAGUUGUGGCCGAUUUAAUUUAUUGGAAUGAAAAACAAAGCAAAACGUUACCUUUUAUUGAUACGGGAACACGGUGGCUGGAACACGUCCUCUUGACUUCACUCUCGGAAAACAAGUAAGUGACCGGUUUAAAUUUCUUCUUACUGUUGCCUGUCGAACUGUAUAUUUACCGAAGGGACAUUUUAGCAUAAGUAACAUAGUGGUAAACAGUUCGACAGUUGACAUAAUAAUGAAGUUAUGUUAAGCAUUAGGCUGGGUUGAAAAUGCUG